ACACAUGCAAGUCGAUGGGUACAGUCCCGCUUCGGCGGGAGCUGACGACCGGCGCACGGGUGAGUAACGCGUAUGCAACUUUCCUGUAACUGGAGGAUAGCCCCUGGAAACGGGGAUUAAUACUGCGUAAUACCUAAAUACCGCAUGGUAUUAAGGUCAAAUCUACGGAGGUUACAGAUGGGCAUGCGUGCCAUUAGCUAGAUGGUAAUGUAACGGCUUACCAUGGCAAUGAUGGCUAGGGGUUCUGCAAGGAAGGCCCCCCACACUGGUACUGAGACACGGACCAGACUCCUACGGGAGGCAGCAGUGAGGAAUAUUGGUCAAUGGAGGCAACUCUGAACCAGCCAAGCCGCGUGAAGGAAGACUGUCCUAUGGAUUGUAAACUUCUUUUGUGGCAGAAUAAACUACCGUACUUGUACGGUAUUGCAUGUAUGCCAUGAAUAAGCAUCGGCUAACUCCGUGCCAGCAGCCGCGGUAAUACGGAGGAUGCAGGCGUUAUCCGGAUUUAUUAGGUUUAAAGGGUGUUCAGGCUGCCUGGUAAGUCAGGGGUGAAAGUCGGUUGCUCAACGAUCGAAUUGCCUUUGAAACUGUCAGGCUCGAGUAUGGAUGCGGUAGGCGGAAUGUGUAGUGUAGCGGUGAAAUGCAUAGAUAUUACACAGAACACCGAUUGCGAAGGCAGCUUACCAAACCAGCACUGACGCUGAAGCACGAAAGCGUGGGGAGCGAACAGGAUUAGAUACCCUGGUAGUCCA
This 752-nucleotide ribosomal RNA is filed under the name uncultured organism. RNAcentral describes it as "bacterial SSU rRNA". It matches the Rfam family "Bacterial small subunit ribosomal RNA", at positions 51 to 797 of the family's 1533-position model. The record is from RNAcentral.